ACGAAGGGUGCUAGCGUUGUUCGGAAUUACUGGGCGUAAAGCGUACGUAGGCGGCUUGGUAAGUCGGUUGUGAAAGCCCCAAGCUCAACUUGGGAACUGCAACCGAUACUGCUUGGCUAGAGUUUAGUGGGGGAUGGUGGAAUUUCUAGUGUAGGGGUGAAAUCCGUAGAUAUUAGAAGGAAUACCGGUGGCGAAGGCGACCAUCUACGCUAACACUGACGCUAAGGUACGAAAGCGUGGGGAGCAAACAGG
RNAcentral lists this ribosomal RNA (252 nucleotides) under uncultured bacterium. RNAcentral describes it as "partial 16S ribosomal RNA". It matches the Rfam family "Bacterial small subunit ribosomal RNA", at positions 525 to 776 of the family's 1533-position model. The record is from RNAcentral.